ACCAUGGUUACAUCAAGUGCUUCU
Molecule: non-coding RNA, 24 nt
Filed under: Arabidopsis thaliana (thale cress)
Lineage: Eukaryota; Viridiplantae; Streptophyta; Magnoliopsida; Brassicales; Brassicaceae
Source: RNAcentral